ACCGCUUUCGGCGUGCUUACACAUGCAAGUCUAACGGGAUCCAUCGCCGUAGCUUGCUACAUGAUGGAUCUAGUGGCGAACGGGUGAGUAACACGUGGGCAACCUGCCCUGAAGACCGGGACAACACGGGGAAACCCGUGCUAAUACCGGAUAACCUGCCUUUCCCGCAUGGCAUCGGCAGAAAAAGGAAGUUUACUUUCGCUUCAGGAUGGGCCCGCGCCCCAUUAGCUUGUCGGUGAGGUAAAAGCUCACCGAGGCGACAAAGGGUAGCCGGCCUGAUAGGGUGAACGGACACACUGGGACUGAGAUACGGCCCAGACUCCUACGGGAGGCAGCAGUGGGGAAUAUUGCGCAAUGGGCGAAAGCCUGACGCAGCGACGCCGCGUGGGUGAAGAAGGCCUUCGGGUUGUAAAGCCCUGUCAGGGGGGACGAAGGGAAACUGACGGUACCUCCAGAGGAAGCCCCGGCCAACUACGUGCCAGCAGCCGCGGUAAUACGUAGGGGGCGAGCGUUGUCCGGAAUCAUUGGGCGUAAAGAGCACGUAGGCGGCCUGUCAAGUCGGAUGUGAAAACCCGUGGCUCAACUGCGGGACUGCAUUAGAAACUGGCAGGCUAGAGUCCAGUAGAGGAAAGUGGAAUUCCCAGUGUAGCGGUGAAAUGCGCAAAUAUUGGGAAGAACACCGGUGGCGAAGGCGGCUUUCUGGGCCUGAGACUGACGCUGAGGUGCGAAAGCUAGGGGAGCACCAGGAU
This 749-nucleotide ribosomal RNA is filed under the name uncultured bacterium. Its description in RNAcentral is "bacterial SSU rRNA". It matches the Rfam family "Bacterial small subunit ribosomal RNA", at positions 32 to 778 of the family's 1533-position model. The record is from RNAcentral.